This 58-nucleotide transfer RNA is filed under the name Liphistius erawan. RNAcentral describes it as "tRNA-Asn". Lineage: Eukaryota; Metazoa; Arthropoda; Arachnida; Araneae; Liphistiidae. The record is from RNAcentral.
UUAAUAGAAGCCAUUAGGCUUCUCAUUGUUAAUGAGAACAAGAACUUCUCCUAUUAAU